UACAGAGGGUGCGAGCGUUGUCCGGAAUCACUGGGCGUAAAGGGCGCGUAGGUGGCGCUCCAAGUCUGUGGUGAAAGCUCGACGCUCAACGUCGGGUCGGCCAUAGAGACUGGAGGGCUCGAGCACUGUAGGGGCAGAUGGAAUUCCGGGUGUAGCGGUGGAAUGCGUAGAGAUCCGGAAGAACACCGGUGGCGAAGGCGGUCUGCUGGGCAGUUGCUGACACUGAGGCGCGACAGCGUGGGGAGCAAACAGG
RNAcentral lists this ribosomal RNA (253 nucleotides) under uncultured bacterium. RNAcentral's name for it is "partial 16S ribosomal RNA". It matches the Rfam family "Bacterial small subunit ribosomal RNA", at positions 524 to 776 of the family's 1533-position model. The record is from RNAcentral.